This 262-nucleotide long non-coding RNA is filed under the name Ananas comosus (pineapple). RNAcentral's name for it is "long non-coding RNA (ACOM_LNC031982)". The record is from RNAcentral. Lineage: Eukaryota; Viridiplantae; Streptophyta; Magnoliopsida; Poales; Bromeliaceae.
UAAUUUUACUAUCAAACUCUCUGUUUAUUUGAUUUAAAUUAGUCAACAAUAAUUUGAUUUCAAAUUUUAAACUAAUUAUUUAUUUCAAUAAAUUUAUAAUUAUUAGAAUUGUUAAAAUAUAUUAAUUAAUCUGUAAAAAUAAACAACACAUUUAAAUUUUAAAAUCAAAGUGCAGUUAACUGAUUCAAAUCAAAUAAAUUAAAUAUUUUAAUAGGUCAGAUAAUCAAAUCAAAAUGGCCUAUAGUUUAAAUAAAUCUUAUAC